AUGCUACUCCCUCCGUCUGAAAAUAGUUGUCAUCAAAAUGAACAAAAAAGGAUGUAUCUAGAACUAAAAUACAUCUAGAUACAUCCCAUUUUAUUCAUUUUGAUGACAAGUAUUUUCGGACGGAGGGAAUAGGCG
Non-coding RNA from Triticum aestivum (bread wheat), 135 nucleotides. The record is from Rfam. Lineage: Eukaryota; Viridiplantae; Streptophyta; Magnoliopsida; Poales; Poaceae.